Molecule: ribosomal RNA, 780 nt
Filed under: uncultured Bacillota bacterium
Lineage: Bacteria; Bacillati; Bacillota
Description: bacterial SSU rRNA
Rfam family: Bacterial small subunit ribosomal RNA
Source: RNAcentral
CGACGAUUAAAGCUCCCUUCGGGGAGUGCAUAAAGUGGCGCACGGGUGAGUAACACGUAAGUAAUCUACCCUCGGGUGGGGAAUAACAUCGGGAAACCGAUGCUAAUACCGCAUAAUGCAGCGGCACCGCAAGGUGACAGUUGUUAAAGGAGCAAUCCGCCUGGGGAGGAGCUUGCGGCAGAUUAGCUUGUUGGUAAGGUAACGGCUUACCAAGGCUACGAUCUGUAUCCGGUCUAAGAGGACGGUCGGACACACUGACACUGAAUAACGGGUCAGACUCCUACGGGAGGCAGCAGUCGGGAAUUUUGGGCAAUGGGGGAAACCCUGACCCAGCAACGCCGCGUGAAGGAUGAAGUAUUUCGGUAUGUAAACUUCGAAAGAAUAGGAAGAAUUAAUGACGGUACUAUUUAUAAGGUCCGGCUAACUACGUGCCAGCAGCCGCGGUAAUACGUAGGGACCAAGCGUUGUUCGGAUUUACUGGGCGUAAAGGGCGCGUAGGCGGCGCGGUAAGUCACUUGUGAAAUCUCUGAGCUUAACUCAGAACGGCCAAGUGAUACUGCAGUGCUAGAGUGUGGAAGGGGCAAUCGGAAUUCUUGGUGUAGCGGUGAAAUGCGUAGAUAUCAAGAGGAACACCUGAGGUGAAGACGGGUUGCUGGGCCAACACUGACGCUGAGGCGCGAAAGCCAGGGGAGCAAACGGGAUUAGAUACCCCGGUAGUCCUGGCCCUAAACGAUGAAUACUUGGUGUCUGGAGUUUUAAUGCUCCGGGUGCCGUCGCUAA